RNAcentral lists this unclassified non-coding RNA (217 nucleotides) under Hevea brasiliensis (rubber tree). The record is from RNAcentral. Lineage: Eukaryota; Viridiplantae; Streptophyta; Magnoliopsida; Malpighiales; Euphorbiaceae.
CACUUGAAUAGCAAAGCAAGAAGGCAUUACUAGAUUGUCACAUUGGUCAUCACUAAUAGUUACAUUGAACCAUGAUGGUGACAACAUCAUAGCAUCAUGUGACCAAUUCAACGAAAUGAUCCUAGAAAAAGGAUUGAUGCGUGAUGGGAUUGUUGCAGGGUUGGCUAAUGAGGGUGUGGAUUGGAUUGUGUUGUGCUCUUUGUAAUCCUUGUAACAG